This 266-nucleotide signal recognition particle RNA is filed under the name Dictyoglomus sp. RNAcentral describes it as "signal recognition particle sRNA large type". It matches the Rfam family "Bacterial large signal recognition particle RNA". From Rfam's summary of the family: The signal recognition particle (SRP) is a universally conserved ribonucleoprotein involved in the co-translational targeting of proteins to membranes. Archaeal SRP consists of a 7S RNA and homologues of the eukaryotic SRP19 and SRP54 proteins. The record is from RNAcentral. RNAcentral also lists the same sequence under 1 other name. Lineage: Bacteria; Pseudomonadati; Dictyoglomota; Dictyoglomia; Dictyoglomales; Dictyoglomaceae.
CUAUGCUUAGGUGGGGAGCUAGCGGUGCCCUGUACCUGCAAUCCGCUAUAGCAGGACCGAAAGGCCACCUGAGGCUUAUCCUUGUAGAAAAGGGAGGAAUAUGGGGGCGAUGAAAAUCAGGACCUGUGCAAUAGGAGAACUUCAAACCCCGCCAGGUCCGAAAGGAAGCAACGGUAAGAAGUUUUUCCUAUGUGCCGCAGGGAUCCUGGUUGGAGCCUACCAAUCCUCUACUAUCUGGAAGGAUAAAGUCGAGGGUGGAGGCAUAG